Molecule: transfer RNA, 69 nt
Filed under: Ovis aries (sheep)
Lineage: Eukaryota; Metazoa; Chordata; Mammalia; Artiodactyla; Bovidae
Rfam family: tRNA
About the family: Transfer RNA (tRNA) molecules are approximately 80 nucleotides in length. Their secondary structure includes four short double-helical elements and three loops (D, anti-codon, and T loops).
Source: Rfam by way of RNAcentral
CUUGAUGGCUCAGAUGGUAAAGAAUCUGCCUCUAAUGCAGGAGACCUGGGUUCGAUUCCUGGGUCAAGA